CCUUCAGAGUAGAUGAAGGAGAGGAGACAGGUUAAAUCCCCUUCAGAGUAGAUGAAGGAGAGGAGACAGGUUAAAUCCCCUUCAGAGUAGAUGAAGGAGAGGAGACAGGUUAAAUCCCCUUCAGAGUAGAUGAAGGAGAGGAGACAGGUUAAAUCCACUUCAGGGUAGAUGAAGGAGAGGAGACAGGUUAAAUCCCCUUCAGAGUAGAUGAAGGAGAGGAGACAGGUUAAAUCCACUUCAGAGUAGAUGAAGGAGAGGAGACAGGUUAAAUCCACUUCAGAGUAGAUGAAGGAGAGGAGACAGGUUAAAUCCCCUUCAGAGUAGAUGAAGGAGAGGAGACAGGUUAAAUCCACUUCAGGGUAGAUGAAGGAGAGGAGACAGGUUAAAUCCACUUCAGAGUAGAUGAAGGAGAGGAGACAGGUUAAAUCCCCUUCAGGGUAGAUGAAGGAGAGGAGACAGGUUAAAUCCCCUUCAGGGUAGAUGAAGGAGAGGAGACAGGUUAAAUCCCCUUCAGGGUAGAUGAAGGAGAGGAGACAGGUUAAAUCCCCUUCAGGGUAGAUGAAGGAGAGGAGACAGGUUAAAUCCCCUUCAGAGUAGAUGAAGGAGAGGAGACAGGUUAAAUCCCCUUCAGAGUAGAUGAAGGAGAGGAGACAGGUUAAAUCCCCUUCAGAGUAGAUGAAGGAGAGGAGACAGGUUAAAUCCCCUUCAGAGUAGAUGAAGGAGAGGAGACAGGUUAAAUCCCCUUCAGAGUAGAUGAAGGAGAGGAGACAGGUUAAAUCCACUUCAGAGUAGAUGAAGGAGAGGAGACAGGUUAAAUCCCCUUCAGAGUAGAUGAAGGAGAGGAGACAGGUUAAAUCCCCUUCAGAGUAGAUGAAGGAGAGGAGACAGGUUAAAUCCCCUUCAGAGUAAAUGAAGGAGAGGAGACAGGUUAAAUCCACUUCAGAGUAGAUGAAGGAGAGGAGACAGGUUAAAUCCCCUUCAGAGUAGAUGAAGGAGAGGAGACAGGUUAAAUCCCCUUCAGAGUAAAUGAAGGAGAGGAGACAGGUUAAAUCCCCUUCAGAGUAGAUGAAGGAGAGGAGACAGGUUAAAUAAGGAUUUUAUAGCCUUCUGACAUGGGGUUGCAACUCAAUAUUAGGAAGUUCUUUGUCCACUCAGUGUAUAUCUGUGGCUCUGGCUGCAGUCUUUAUAAUGGAC
Molecule: long non-coding RNA, 1194 nt
Organism: Oncorhynchus keta (chum salmon)
Lineage: Eukaryota; Metazoa; Chordata; Actinopteri; Salmoniformes; Salmonidae
Exons: 9
Source: RefSeq, a predicted model, not a curated record